GCGAACACAUUCCAGCCAAUCAGCAGCAGACUCUCCCUCCCAGACCCUCCCACCUGCUGGACAGCAUCCAUUUUACAUUCAUUAUGAAGCUGCAUUCUUAGUGAGCUGUCCAGGAGGUGGGAGGGUCUGGGAGGGAGGGUCUGCUGCUGAUUGGAUGGAAUGUGUCUG
This 168-nucleotide microRNA precursor is filed under the name Pelobates cultripes (western spadefoot toad). Lineage: Eukaryota; Metazoa; Chordata; Amphibia; Anura; Pelobatidae. The record is from RNAcentral.